RNAcentral lists this ribosomal RNA (370 nucleotides) under uncultured bacterium. Its description in RNAcentral is "bacterial SSU rRNA". It matches the Rfam family "Bacterial small subunit ribosomal RNA", at positions 28 to 416 of the family's 1533-position model. The record is from RNAcentral.
GAUGAACGCUGGCGGCGUGCCUAAUACAUGCAAGUCGAGCGGUAAGGCCCCUUCGGGGGUACACGAGCGGCGGACGGCUGAGUAACACGUAGGAACGUACCCCAAACUGAGGGAUAAGCACCGGAAACGGUGUCUAAUACCGCAUGUGCUCUUCGGAGUAAAGCUUCGGCGGUUUGGGAACGGCCUGCGCAUGAUUAGCUUGUUGGUGAGGUAAUGGCUCACCAAGGCGACGAUCAUUAGCUGGUCUAAGAGGAUGAUCAGCCAGACUGGGACUGAGACACGGCCCAGACUCCUACGGGAGGCAGCAGUAGGGAAUCUUCCACAAUGGGCGAAAGCCUGAUGGAGCAACGCCGCGUGCAGGAUGAAGGCC